Molecule: ribosomal RNA, 354 nt
Filed under: Clostridiales bacterium
Lineage: Bacteria; Bacillati; Bacillota; Clostridia; Eubacteriales
Description: bacterial SSU rRNA
Rfam family: Bacterial small subunit ribosomal RNA
Source: RNAcentral
UUUAUUGAGAGUUUGAUCCUGGCUCAGGAUGAACGCUGGCGGCGUGCCUAACACAUGCAAGUCGAACGAAGCACUGCAAACGGAGAUUCGUCAAAGUUUGUUUUGACUUAGUGGCGGACGGGUGAGUAAUGUAUGAGCAACCUGCCUUUCAGUGGGGGACAACAGUUGGAAACGACUGCUAAUACCGCAUGAUGUCAAUUGGGGGCAUCCCCGAAUGACCAAAGGAUUUAUUCGCUGAAAGAUGGGCUCAUAUCUGAUUAGCUAGUUGGUGAGGUAACGGCUCACCAAGGCUGCGAUCAGUAGCCGGACUGAGAGGUUGAACGGCCACAUUGGGACUGAGAUACGGCCCAGACU